AGAACCAUGGCCACAAAUGUGAAAUCUGCCUUCUCCAAAAUGAGUUCAAAUGGAUUCCCAGUAUUUGCUCAAGUUCUACGGUACACAAUCAGCAAGCAGCAAAGUGACUUUCAACAUGUUGGUGGCAGAGCAAACCCAAGCGCUGCUUGCUGGCCUUUUCUAUGAGCCCUGCUGAUUCCUGUUGCAGUGGCUGCCAAUUACUGCAGACGUAUCAGCAAGAGCAUGAUCCCUGGGAGUCCUUGCUUGCUAUUCUUCCCUUCACUGUAGCUGCUAUUGGUCAGCAUGUUUGUUACCUACAGGGGUCAGCGUCCGCAUCAGCACUCACCUUCACUUCUUCCUCAUACUGGAAUCUUCGUUUGCUCACAAUGAUGUCUUCAAUACCCCGCCUAUCACCGAACUUCUUCUCAAAGAUGGUAUAGUUUUUAAAGAGUUCUUGGGCCUCCUGCUUUGAAAUUCUAUCCAGGGCAUACUUGUAGAUCACUCGUACCCUUUCAAACUAAAAGCAGAUAGGAGGAUUACUUCUCAACACAAUAUUCUCACCCUAGCAACAACUUGGAAGGCUUAUGUUAAUGACUGUCCGUAUGUCCAGACUCUGACUAUACCUCCAUGGAAGCGGCAAUAACCAGGACAAUACUCCCAACGCAUUCAAAGGAUAUAUCGUUCAUAAAUGGUGCGGGCCCGAUCCACCUCUUUGUAUCGCAGCUCAAAGUUUAUGUAGGAAUGCCAGGCUUGCUCCUCAGGCUGCCAUUCCAUCCAGCGCUCAAACACCUGCCGGGCGCCAGCAAUGUUUCCCAACAUCUCCUCCAUGUAUGUGUACUUGUACCUUUAAUAAAAUCAUCCCAAAAUA
Molecule: long non-coding RNA, 847 nt
Organism: Canis lupus familiaris (dog)
Lineage: Eukaryota; Metazoa; Chordata; Mammalia; Carnivora; Canidae
Exons: 3
Source: RefSeq, a predicted model, not a curated record